UAUGAACAUGGAUCAUAAAGUACAUGCUUUUUAAAAUAAAGAAGUUAAGUUUAAAAAAAACUAAUACGAUCACAAGUUCACACCAGAAUUUCAUUUAUGUACGAUCACAUAACUUGAAAGUUAAUCGUUUGUUUUCUUGGCCCUACCCUUAGAACAUUGAAAGGCGAGAAUUAGUAAACAACAACUUUGUUUGAGUCCAACAUGUGCACAGGGGCAAGAGGGGUGUUUUAUUUACAAACAUAUGUGUCGAUUCUCUGUUGUCAAGUCGACACAAAUUUCCAACGGAGGAAAUUUUUAGCUAUAUUUUAACAAACAUUAUAACGUUAAUUUAACUUAUUUCUGUUAUAUUUUAUAGGAAAAUUUAAAAUAAAAAGUAUAAAUACUACAAUUAACCUAUUUUAAGAAUAAAUAUAAUAUCCUUAAGCAAAAAAAAAACAAAAUUAUUAACAUUCUUAUCCCUAAAACUCCUUCUAAAAAAUUUGAAGCGACAACACCGGAGCUUAAGCGCCUAAACCAUACGCGUUGUGUCAUCUGUCAAACGGCUUUUUGUUUAUAUUCGGGAUUCGUGUAUUUUCUUUAAUUUUUGGUUUAAAAAGGAAAAAAGGCCACGUUUUAGUGUUUUUUUAAAUUGCUAGGAUGGCAAAAACUUGUGUCGUUUGUGCCGCAUCAUGAUAAAAACGUGAUUCAAGCCGAUCUUUUCACAAGUAAGUACCGAUACUUUCAUAACAUCACAUCAUGGGGUAACCAUCAUCAUAAACGUAGAAUAGGGGAUCUUAUAGAUAUAAACCUAAUAAAAAUUUGAAUGUGAAAGUGUGCGUAAAAUACCAACAUAUUUAUAUUUUUAAAUCUAAAUAUUUUUUUGAACAUAUUCAUCUAUUAAUAGGCUAUAAAAGAUAUAAAACUAGAAUUUUGUCCCUGGUUUUAUUACAGGAUUUUAUGUUUUUUUUGUUGUUUUGGCAGAAAAAAAUUAUAAUACCUAUGUACCUAUCUAUAUAUACAUAGUUUGAUAUCUAUGUAUAAAGUUAAUUUUGUCUUUCUUUAAAAUUUGUUCCAUAAUUUUUUUUUGUUUUACCUUAUUGCAACUUACAAUAAUAUAUAUAGUAAUUGGCACCACAUAUUAAUUUAUUACUGUAAUUUUUUUCUGCUUUUUGAUUAAAUAUCAAAUACUUAUUAUAGAUUGCCCAAUGAUUAUGCCCAAAGGGAACAAUGGGUUUCAUUAAUGGAAAUCAACACAUUUAAAAAGAACAUAUUUGUUUGUUCAGAUCACAUCCUUAGAAGUGAUAUAAGGGAGAUAAUAUUAUCAGUAGCCAGACUUUAUUAAAAAAAUCAGCUCUACCUCAAAGGAUUUCUGAUGCACUGGUUAAAAACACAGCAGCCAAUAAUUCAGUUAAUUUACCAAGUGAUUUACCCUUCAAAGCUACAGGGGUAGCUUUCCUGAAGAGUGCAAAAACUUCUUUAGCUUUCAAAAUGGUAUAUAGUACAAACAGUGAAGCUAAUAUAGACACGUAUGGAUAAUUAAAAUAGAUUAAUAUUCUUGAUACACCAAAUUUUGUAUAAUUACAGAUCUGAUCAUUCAUCAUCAACAAUAACUGCAUCUGAGAAUUAUAGUUCUACAGUAACCGUGGAGUUUAGGUCAACAAUUACUAUUUCUCAUCCAAGCCGUUUUUGUUUAACUGCUACACAUUCCCUGACUCUGCCAAGGAAAAGGGUAAAAUCAAAAUGAUAUCCUGAGGACCUAAGCACUGAUGAUUCCACCGUUUCAAGAGCUUAAUCACUUGUCACCAGAUUAUGGAAAAAAAAUAAAGAACAAAAAAUUAAAAUUCGAAGAUUGCAACAAGCAAAUUUGCGCCAAAGAAAUUGAAUUAGAUGUCUCAAGUCAUUAUUAAAAUACUUACAUGAAAUAAUAACAUGAUUUUAUGGAAAAGCCCAACAUACUACAUAUUUUAUUUGACUUGUAAAAGCACUUGUUUGUAUAUUACUACUAAUAAACUCUCUAAUCUAAUCUAUUGUA
RNAcentral lists this long non-coding RNA (2011 nucleotides) under Anthonomus grandis grandis. Its description in RNAcentral is "uncharacterized LOC126748550". Lineage: Eukaryota; Metazoa; Arthropoda; Insecta; Coleoptera; Curculionidae. The record is from RNAcentral.